UUUUGCUGAUGAUUAGUUGCAGAGACAUUUAGCCUUGCAUUGUUUGAGAAAUAUUUUGUGAUAAUAAUUGCAACAUCUGAGGUUUUU
Triticum urartu is the source of this 87-nucleotide non-coding RNA. The record is from Rfam. Lineage: Eukaryota; Viridiplantae; Streptophyta; Magnoliopsida; Poales; Poaceae.